This 1051-nucleotide long non-coding RNA is filed under the name Felis catus (domestic cat). Its description in RNAcentral is "lncRNA (ENSFCAG00000053304.1)". The record is from RNAcentral. Lineage: Eukaryota; Metazoa; Chordata; Mammalia; Carnivora; Felidae.
AUGCUCACGACAGCCCAGACAGCAGUCCAACUGAGUGCUCAUUCAACAUCAACUCUGUGCCCAGUAGAGGAGGCAAGGCAUAGAAAACAACUGGAGAUGAAUCAACAGCUGCAUCAGGUUCAGCAGACAUUCAGCUGUAUCUCGCCCUACCCUGGGUGGGGCAGGCAUCCCACUGGUUCUCGCAGGUUGGAUGUCUACAAGGUGAGUAGAUUUUCACCCGAUCCCCUCCUCACAUGUUCGCUCUGUGUCUCUGUGCCAAAAGAAUCUACCGUCUCCGUUGCUUUGAGUCACAUUCCCAAAUGGGCCCAGCCUUUGUAUAUGCCACGUGCCAGGAAUAAGUGGGGUAAGGGACAAAGCCUAUGAGCCUGGCUUCAGAUUUUUGGCUGAUGACCUAGUCAGUUCCCAUGUGAGAGCCCCAGCAGAGACUGUAGAACCUUUCUCCUCUGUAUCCAACAUUAUCUGCGUGUAUUUCUCUGUCCACGACUGGAGGAAUCAGUCACGACUCUCCAUGGUCACCAGCACGUGACCUUGAAAAACAGUGGGGAUGGGAGGGGGUCAAGUGCAAUGAGUGGGUGAUCCUGAGUACCACUUGGCGGAAAAUAUGUUCCAAACUUUUAUCAAGGCUACUGACAAAGUACCUGAUUGUCCUCUUUGAUUUUAAUUUCCUUUUUCUGCCUCUUCCUAAGCCUCCAGGGAAUGAACAAAUAACAAAGGAAAUGGCUGACAAAGGGAAAAUUAUGAUGUGAGAAUUUCACUAAAGAAUUUAGCCCACUUUACUCUGUUCGCAAAGGCCCUGGAAUUGGCCCCGAACUGGGGUUUAGGGAAUCUAUCAUUUGUUCCCACGGUGUCCUUAUUAGCCAGGCAACCUGGGCAGAGUUUAAACCUCAAGGAUCUUCCUGUUCUCAUCUGUCAAAUUGGGCUAAUGAUGUCAAUCCACCCCACGAGUCUUUCUACUGUCGGUGUCCCAGGUAAGGAAAGGAUUGUAUGAGUCAUGGAAAGUAAGGUUACACUUGUUCCCUGCUGAAAGUCACAUGCUCACCUCCAGGUCCUG